RNAcentral lists this ribosomal RNA (400 nucleotides) under uncultured bacterium. RNAcentral's name for it is "bacterial SSU rRNA". It matches the Rfam family "Bacterial small subunit ribosomal RNA", at positions 356 to 773 of the family's 1533-position model. The record is from RNAcentral.
GGGGAAUAUUGCACAAUGGGGGAAACCCUGAUGCAGCAACGCCGCGUGAGUGAUGACGGUCUUCGGAUUGUAAAGCUCUGUCAUCUGGGACGAUAAUGACGGUACCAGAUGAGGAAGCCACGGCUAACUACGUGCCAGCAGCCGCGGUAAUACGUAGGCGGCAAGCGUUGUCCGGAAUUACUGGGCGCAAAGGGUGCGCAGGCGGACAUUUAAGUGAGAUGUGAAAGACCCGGGCUUAACUUGGGCAGUGCAUUUCAAACUGGAUGUCUGGAGUGCAGGAGAGGAGAACGGAAUUCCUAGUGUAGCGGUGAAAUGCGUAGAGAUUAGGAAGAACACCAGUGGCGAAGGCGGUUCUCUGGACUGUAACUGACGCUGAGGCACGAAAGCGUGGGUAGCAAAC